CCAGACGAUCGCGUGCAUCAAGUACGAGGAAAGUCCGGGCUCCAUAGGGCAAGAAUGCCUGAUAACGUCAGGCGCAGGUAACUGUAGGGAAAGUGCAACAGAAACAUUCCGCCGAAACGGUUAGGCCGUGGUAAGGUUGAAAUGGUGAGGUAAGAGCUCACCGGCGUCAUGGAGACAUGACGGCCGUGUAAACCCCAUUCGGAGCAAGACCAAAAAGGGCAAUAUGUGUGGCUGCCCGUCACCGCCCAUAGGUAGGUCGCUUGAGUCAUUCAGCAAUGUAUGACCUAGAUGGAUGAUCGUCCAAUACAGAACCCGGCUUACAGGUUUGCCCUU
RNAcentral lists this RNase P RNA (333 nucleotides) under uncultured Alterileibacterium sp. Its description in RNAcentral is "Bacterial RNase P class A". It matches the Rfam family "Bacterial RNase P class A". From Rfam's summary of the family: Ribonuclease P (RNase P) is a ubiquitous endoribonuclease, found in archaea, bacteria and eukarya as well as chloroplasts and mitochondria. Its best characterised activity is the generation of mature 5'-ends of tRNAs by cleaving the 5'-leader elements of precursor-tRNAs. Cellular RNase Ps are ribonucleoproteins. Lineage: Bacteria; Bacillati; Bacillota; Clostridia; Peptostreptococcales; Anaerovoracaceae. The record is from RNAcentral.